RNAcentral lists this long non-coding RNA (286 nucleotides) under Malus domestica (apple). Its description in RNAcentral is "long non-coding RNA (MDOM_LNC017346)". Lineage: Eukaryota; Viridiplantae; Streptophyta; Magnoliopsida; Rosales; Rosaceae. The record is from RNAcentral.
CUGGUGCUUCGAAUUUUACCUUUGGUCUCGGCCCCACUAGGCCACAGAGCUUCGUGGUGCCUCCCGGGGCGGCCGGGUGCCAUCCUCUACAGCCUCAGCAGCAACAACUCUUACAACAACAACAACAACAACAACAACAACAACAGCAACAAUACCAACAACGCCAUAACCAGCAAUACUUGUUUUCGCUGAGGAACAAUGACAACGUUAACGGUGAUCAUGGGUUUCUUGAGAGAUUGUCAUCAAGAGUGGGACCCACAAGCAUGGUGAUGGGACUGUCGUCCGA